GGAGCUCGCAGCUAUACAUGCAGUCGUGGGGCAGCAGGUCCGUAGCAAUACGGAUGCUGGCGACCGGCAAACGGGUGCGUAACACGUACGCAACCUUCCUUCAGGCGGGGAAUAGCCCGGGGAAACCCGGAUUAAUACCCCAUAAAAUCUUGGAAUGGCAUCAUUUCAUUAUUAAAGCUUCGGCACCUGAUGAUGGGCGUGCGGCUGAUUAGGUAGUUGGCGGGGUAACGGCCCACCAAGCCAGCGAUCAGUAGCUGAUGUGAGAGCAUGAUCAGCCACACGGGCACUGAGACACGGGCCCGACUCCUACGGGAGGCAGCAGUAAGGAAUAUUGGUCAAUGGACGAAAGUCUGAACCAGCCAUGCCGCGUGGAGGAUGAAGGUCCUCUGGAUUGUAAACUUCUUUUAUUUGGGACGAAAAAGGAGAAUUCUUUCUCCCCUGACGGUACCAGAUGAAUAAGCACCGGCUAACUCCGUGCCAGCAGCCGCGGUAAUACGGAGGGUGCAAGCGUUAUCCGGAUUCACUGGGUUUAAAGGGUGCGUAGGCGGAUAGGUAAGUCCGUGGUGAAAUCCUGCAGCUUAACUGCAGAACUGCCAUGGAUACUAUUUAUCUUGAAUAUCGUGGAGGUUAGCAGAAUAUGUCAUGUAGCGGUGAAAUGCUUAGAUAUGACAUAGAAUACCCAUUGCGAAGGCAGCUAACUACGCGAUAAUUGACGCUGAUGCACGAAAGCGUGGGGAUCAAACAGGAUUAGAUACCCUGGUAGUCCACGCCCUAAACGAUGAUUACUCGACAUUGGUGAUACACAGUCAGUGUCUGAGCGAAAGCAUUAAGUAAUCCACCUGGGGAGUACGA
RNAcentral lists this ribosomal RNA (852 nucleotides) under uncultured bacterium. Its description in RNAcentral is "bacterial SSU rRNA". It matches the Rfam family "Bacterial small subunit ribosomal RNA", at positions 39 to 885 of the family's 1533-position model. The record is from RNAcentral.